CCCUUAGAUGUUCGGGGCUGCACGCGCGCUACAAUGAAGAAAUCAACGUGUCAGCUCCCUGCCUCGAGAGGGGUGGGUAAUCCGUUGAACCUUCUUCGUGCUAGGGAUUGGGGCUUGUAAUUCUUCCCCAUGAACGAGGAAUUCCCAGUAAGCGCAAGUCAUAAGCUUGCGUUGAUUACGUCCCUGCCCUUUGUACACACCGCCCGUCGCUACUACCGAUUGAAUGGUUUAGUGAGAUCUCUGGAUUGACGCUGGCUAGGGGGCGACCCUUGGCCAGACUGUUGAGAAACUGCUCAAACUUGAUCAUUUAGAGGAAGUAAAAGUCGUAACA
Molecule: ribosomal RNA, 331 nt
Filed under: uncultured eukaryote
Lineage: Eukaryota
Description: partial 18S ribosomal RNA
Rfam family: Eukaryotic small subunit ribosomal RNA
Source: RNAcentral